GAUGAACGCUGGCGGCGUGCCUAAUACAUGCAAGUCGAGCGAACGGACGAGAAGCUUGCUUCUCUGAUGUUAGCGGCGGACGGGUGAGUAACACGUGGAUAACCUCCUUAUAAGACUGGGAUAACUUCGGGAAACCGGAGCUAAUACCGGAUAAUAUUUUGAACCGCAUGGUUCAAAAGUGAAAGACGGUCUUUCUGUCACUUAUAGAUGGAUCCGCGCUGCAUUAGCUAGUUGGUAAGUUAACGGCUUACCAAGGCAACGAUGCAUAGCCGACCUGAGAGGGUGAUCGGCCACACUGGAACUGAGACACGGUCCAGACUCCUACGGGAGGCAGCAGUAGGGAAUCUUCCGCAAUGGGCGAAAGCCUGACGGAGCAACGCCGCGUGAGUGAUGAAGGUCUUCGGAUCGUAAAACUCUGUUAUUAGGGAAGAACAUAUGUGUAAGUAACUGUGCACAUCUUGACGGUACCUAAUCAGAAAGCCACGGCUAACUACGUG
Molecule: ribosomal RNA, 497 nt
Filed under: uncultured bacterium
Lineage: Bacteria
Description: partial 16S ribosomal RNA
Rfam family: Bacterial small subunit ribosomal RNA
Source: RNAcentral